Molecule: non-coding RNA, 78 nt
Organism: Ameiurus melas (black bullhead)
Lineage: Eukaryota; Metazoa; Chordata; Actinopteri; Siluriformes; Ictaluridae
Source: the annotation of a GenBank genome assembly
GGCAGUGGUGGCUCAGUGGUUAAAGGCUCUAGUUUACUGAGCAGAAGUAAGUCAAGAGUUCAAGCCCCAGCACUGCUA